Long non-coding RNA from Oncorhynchus masou masou (cherry salmon), 3458 nucleotides. RefSeq lists it as uncharacterized. Lineage: Eukaryota; Metazoa; Chordata; Actinopteri; Salmoniformes; Salmonidae. The transcript has 3 exons. The record is from RefSeq and is a predicted model, not a curated record.
AUUACCACCCCCUGUUACUAAAUUACAAAGGAGCUUGGCUGAAGACUUCAUCCUUUAUUGUGUCUGAUUCUAUAAAUAUUCAUGGUCGGCAGUCAUCAAUGGCCAAUCAGAUCACAAUCGGAACUGAGCAGAUGAUCUGUUGAGGAAGCUGAGCCAAGUGCCUCCCUUCCAGGUAAAUCCCUGUAAACACUUCUUCCCACUGUUUCAUUUCCAGGGCUAAUGAUGUUGCUUUUCUUUCUGGGUUUGUUUACUCUCCUUCUCCUUCCUCUCUCGGGGUUUUCUUCAUGGUCUAGUCCCGUGAAGAAUCAUCAAGGUGAUUGUUGUGUACACUUAUCUUCAGACGGCAUCCUUCGCCUGUCAAGUCAGAAAGUGUGCAUGUGUAUAGAGGUCACCGUCUGAAUAUGUAAUAGAAACAGACGUUCCUGGAGAUACAGUUAGCAGGACUCAGCGGGGGUUGAGGGUGUUGCAGUAAUCAGGGUUGAAAUGGUGCUCGUUAUAUUUGUCAACUUGCUGGUGGUGGCACAAAUGGAGUGAGUGUGCCUGCAAUUUAAUGUCUGCUGAAUGAGAGUGGUGUUGAGGUGAGAUGGCAGCGGGCUGUAAGUAAUUUCUUGCAGGUUGAUUUUAGUUACUGUGAACAUUUGUAUCCUGUUAGAAUUUCAAAUUUAUUUUAUAUUAUUUUCAAUGAUGGCCUAGGAACAGUGAGUUAACUGCCUGUUAAGGGGCAGAAUGACAGAUGUGUACCUUGUCAGCUCGGGGAUUUGAAUUUGCAACCUUCCGGUUACUAGUCCAACGCUGUAACCACUAGGCUACCCUGCCGUACCAGUACCAGUUAAAAGUUUGGACACACCUACUCAUUCAAGGGCUUUUCUUUAUAACUCUGUAAAGAGUUGAUUUGGGCUGCAAUUUCUGAGAUCUAAUGAACUUAUCCUCUGCAGCAGAGGCUCUAAAUCUUCCUUUUGUUUGGUGGUCCUCAUGGUGCUUCAAAGUUCUUGAAAUGUUCCGCAUUGACUGACUUUCAUGUCUUAAAGUAAUGAUGAACUGUCGUUUCUCUUUGCUUAUUUGAGCUGUUCUUGCCAUAUUAUGGACUUGGUCUUUUACAAAAUAGGGCUUUUGUAUACUACCCCUCUCUUGUCACAACACAGCUGAUUGGCUCAAAUGCACUAAGAAGGAUAGAAAUUCCACAAAUGAUCUACCUCAUGAAGCUGGUUGAGAGAAUGCCAAAACGUGUGCAAAGCUCUCAUCAAGGGAAAGGGUGGCUACUUUGAAGAAUCUGUUUAACACUUUUUUGGUUACAACAUGAUUACAUAUGUGUUAUUUCAUAGUUUUGAUGUCUUCACUAUUAUUCUCCAAUGUAGAAAACAGUAAAAAAAAAAUAAGAAAACCCCUUGAAUGAGUAGCUGUAUCCAAAUGUUUUACUGGGACUGUACAUGUAUGGUUUAAGUUAUCCUUUUGUGAAUGUUAAAUCUAUUAACAUGUUAUUAUUAUACUAUUACUCAACUGUGUUGGCACUUAACCUAGAGUUUAACUCUUGAUUUUCAGACGUUGUAACCUGAUCUAGUUCUAUCCAGACAGUCCGUAGGUAUUUUGGAGCAUCUCAGGGUAUGGUUAUUGUCUGGAACAUUAGAGGAGAGAACAAUAUGAGCCCUUAAACAUGAAAGCAGUCUUUGAUUUUAACACGAUCAAAUAAAUUAUUCUAAUUAUGCAUUAGAGGAAACAGCUGCCUGCAUUUUAUUUUGUAAGAUUGUCUAAAAUGCUCAUUUAAACUGUAGAUAUAUUUGACAAUGCUGUUUCCACUGCUGAUGUUGUAAAUCAGGAAAGCAUACAGAAAUAUAAAAACAUAUCUAGGCCCAAAUGUUCUCGUUUUGUCCCUCCAACUCUUCUCAUCCCUUACCACCAGCACCACAGUAUCAGAGGAGUGACUCCAUACAGUCCAGCUGCAGCUGUGGAUCUGAUCCUGACUCCUGAUCCCCCCCCCCCUGUCACCUCUGUCCCCCUUAUGACAGAUGCAGCCAUUGAACUUCCUAAUAGCAGAUUUCCACCUUCCCUUAAUGCUUUUCAUUUUAAUCAUUAGUACAACUCUCCAAAUGAAUUCCAUCUUUUUGCCUAAUUUAGCAAAUCUGGUGCCCUGAUGUGACCUAUUUAAAUACAAUUGGGUCCAGUGCUGUGGUUAUAAACAAACCGUUUUGUUGAACUAGUAGGCUAGCUAGAAGUUGGAUCUCUCCUCCCCAACAUCGUCCCUCCUAUGGGGAUAUAGUGCCUGUGGUUUGCCACAUGCUUCAAGAGGGCCACCAUUGUUCCUGUUCCCAAGAAAGCUAAGGUAACUGAGCUAAACGACUACCACCCCGUAGCACUCACUUCCGUCAUCAUGAAGUGCUUUGAGAGACUAGUCAAGGACCAUAUCACCUCCACCCUACCUGACACCCUAGACCCACUCCAAUUUGCUUACCGCCCAAAUAGGUCCACAGACGAUGCAAUCUCAACCACACUGCACACUGCCCUAACCCAUCUGGACAAGAGGAAUACCUAUGUGAGAAUGCUGUUCAUCGACUACAGCUCAGCAUUUAACACCAUAGUACCCUCCAAGCUCAUCAUCAACCUCGAGACCCUGGGUCUCGACCCCGCCCUGUGCAACUGGGUACUGGACUUCCUGACGGGCCGCCCCCAGGUGGUGAGGGUAGGCAAGAACAUCUCCACCCCGCUGAUCCUCAACACUCGGGCCCCACAAGGGUGUGUUCUGAGCCCUCUCCUGUACUCCCUGUUCACCCACGACUGCGUGGCCACGCACGCCUCCAACCCAAUCAUCAAGUUUGCGGACGACACCACAGUGGUAGGCUUGACGAGACGGCCUACAGGGAGGAGGUGAGGGCCCUCGGAGUGUGGUGUCAGGAAAAUAACCUCACACUGCUCUGCCCACAACCUUAAGGCUCUUCAGAGGGUAGUGAGGUCUGCACAACGCAUCAUCGGGGGCAAACUACCUGCCCUCCAGGACACCUACACCACCUGAUGUUACAGGAAGGCCAUAAAGAUCAUCAAGGACAACAACCACCCGAGCCACUGCCUGUUCACCCCACUAUCAUCCAGAAGGCGAGGUCAGUACAGGUGCAUCAAAGCUGGGACCGAGAGACUGAAAAAUAGCUUCUAUCUGAAGGCCAUCAGACUGUUAAACAGCAACCACUAACAUUGAGUGGCUGCUGCCAACACACUGACUCAACUCCAGCCACUUUAAUAAUGGGAAUUGAUGGGAAAUGAUGUAAAAUAUAUCACUAGCCACUUUAAACAAUGCUACCUAAUAUAAUGUUUACAUACCCUACAUUAUUCAUCUCAUAUGUAUACGUAUAUACUGUACUCUAUAUCAUCUACUGCAUCUUUAUGUAAUACAUGUAUCACUAGCCACUUUAACUAUACCACUUUGUUUACAUACUCAUCUCAUAUGUAUAUACUGUACUCGAUACCAUCUA